GGGCUCUUAGCUCAGUUGGUUAGAGCAGGUGACUCAUAAUCACCGGGUCGCUGGUUCAAGUCCGGCAGGGCCCACCA
RNAcentral lists this transfer RNA (77 nucleotides) under Lentisphaerota bacterium. Its description in RNAcentral is "Lentisphaerae bacterium (anaerobic digester metagenome) tRNA-Ile". It matches the Rfam family "tRNA". From Rfam's summary of the family: Transfer RNA (tRNA) molecules are approximately 80 nucleotides in length. The record is from RNAcentral. Lineage: Bacteria; Pseudomonadati; Lentisphaerota. RNAcentral also lists the same sequence under 1 other name.